This 425-nucleotide ribosomal RNA is filed under the name beta proteobacterium SCGC AAA487-F23. Its description in RNAcentral is "bacterial SSU rRNA". It matches the Rfam family "Bacterial small subunit ribosomal RNA", at positions 356 to 772 of the family's 1533-position model. Lineage: Bacteria; Pseudomonadati; Pseudomonadota; Betaproteobacteria. The record is from RNAcentral.
GGGGAAUUUUGGACAAUGGGGGCAACCCUGAUCCAGCAAUGCCGCGUGUGUGAAGAAGGCCUUCGGGUUGUAAAGCACUUUUGUCCGGAAAGAAAUCGCGCUGGUUAAUACCUGGCGUGGAUGACGGUACCGGAAGAAUAAGCACCGGCUAACUACGUGCCAGCAGCCGCGGUAAUACGUAGGGUGCGAGCGUUAAUCGGAAUUACUGGGCGUAAAGCGUGCGCAGGCGGUUUUGUAAGACAGNCGUGAAAUCCCCGGGCUNAACCUGGGAAUUGCGCUUGNGACUGCAAGGCUAGAGUGCGUCAGAGGGGGGUAGAAUUCCACGUGUAGCAGUGAAAUGCGUAGAGAUGUGGAGGAAUACCGAUGGCGAAGGCAGCCCCCUGGGACGUGACUGACGCUCAUGCUACGAAAGCGUGGGGAGCAAA